Long non-coding RNA from Equus caballus (horse), 2424 nucleotides. NCBI's taxonomy places the organism in Eukaryota, Metazoa, Chordata, Mammalia, Perissodactyla, Equidae. The record is from Ensembl.
CCUGGCUCCCCUUGGUCUGCAACCCCCGCCCCGCUGCCCCGCGGACCCGGGGGUCUGCAGUGAGCGCCGCAAGAGGGCGGGGCCCGCGGACCCCUGACCGUCACUUCUCGGGGGGAGGGGGGCUUGCGCUGCCGCCGAUGGGGCCCUGGGGGACCCCGGACGGCGGUCCUUGCACUCGCCCGCCCGGCUCCCCGCGUCCGCGCUGCAGGGAGCGCCCCGCCUGGGCACGGCCGUGCCCGCCCGGAGGAGGGAGGAGGCCGGCGGCCGCGGGAACAAUGUGGUCGGUUGUUUUGCCGACUGUCAGCCUGGUUCCCGGAUCCUCCUUUCCACGCCCCUUGGCCUAACCGCCACAGGCCCGGCACGCAGAGGGAAGAGCCCCCUUAUUUGGUCUUGGAAAGAAAGGGGAAAGGUUAUCCUCAGAUGCCUGCGGCGUUGGGUCAUCGGCCCGCAGCGCUUGGCCCGCGCCCGGGCGCAGCGCCGUCUCCCGCCGGUAGGUGGCGGCGCCGGGCAGCGCCUCGCCGGCCGCCCGAGUGGUAAACAAGCCCGCAGGUUCCGGUACCUCCGCUCCGGGCUUCUUUUGUGUGCGCGCCGUGAGGGAGGGGCGGGAGGGCCGGCCGGGGGAGGCAGAAGCGCGCGAAAAGAAAAAACAAAGCCUUUUAUAUGGGAGAGACAAGCUUUCAAAAUCGGAAAGUCGGCUUCAGCGCGAGGGCGUGACUUUGCCGUGUCGGUUUCGUGUGAACCGUUUGCGAGCGCACGAGGGGAUGCGGGCAUCCGUGUUACGGUCAGCCGGGCAGUUGGGGUGCAAAUUCCGUGAGGAACAUUAAUAAGACGCUAUGUGAGGAUUAGAACCUGCUUGGGGGUUUCCUUUCCUUCCUACCCCCACCCUCUCCUUUCUUCUCUCACUGCCUCCUUCCCCCUCCCUCCCUUUGCCAGCCUCUCAGGUGAGCUGGCGAGGUGCAGCGAGCCACCUGCCUUCUCUUGGCCAGAGCGGGAUGGAAGCGGAGGUCCCUAAGCCCUGCCUACGUGCAGGCCGGCCCUUCCUCACCCGGAUUGCUGAUCCUCACACCACACCAGGAUGACAGGAAUUACCCUCGCCGUUUGACCCGGAGCUCGGAGAGGCUGAGGGCACACGGACAGGAAGUGGCAAAGCUGGGAUUUGAAUCCAAGUCCUUCACAGUUCGCAGGUGGAUGGAGCCCAAGGAACGUCACACCGUGCCACCAUCAUCUCAGGGACUGCCCUGUUUGGAGGGCAGCAGCACCCAGCCAUCCAGCGUGGAUUGAGGAACAGAGCUGUGCAUCCUUGGCCGUGCUCUGUAACCUCUGUGCUCCAGCUGUUGUCAGGAGUUAAUGAUUUGUUCGGGUGUGAAGGACUUAACACAGUGUCUGGCCCAUGAGGAGCACAGUAGGGACACCUCCCAGGAUUGUUGGGAGGAUUAAAUGAAAUAAUGCCUGUAAAUCCCUCAACCCUGGGCCUGGCACCCAGAAAGGGUUCAAUAAACGUCUGGUGAGCACUAUAAUCGGCUACCUCUUUUUGAGUGUCAGCUAUAUGCUACAAACUGUUUAAGGCUCUUUACAUACGCGCUUGAAUCCUUAUGGAAAACCUAGGAUGUAGAUAAAAUUAUUCCAGUACAGGGACUUUGGAAUUAGGUGAGUUAAGUAAAAUUACCCGAGGUCACACAGCUAGUAUGUGGCAGCCCCAAGAUCUGGCUGGCUCCAACGUGUGUGCCCUUUUGAUUAUGGGCAGCCUGGGAGGAAAGAAGAAAUUAUAAACAGUCCUAUGUGGUGGGCUGAAGGGUCUUCAUGGGAGAGGGGGUCAUAACUGCCUCCUCAUUAUGAAUAACUUGCUAUUAUCCCUGUGUCUUUGGGGUGGCUCUGGAAGACAGUGACAUAAGGCUGAUUACAUAUGCAGAUAUAAGAACCAGUGGACUACAGCCACCUUUGGGUCUCCUGACUGUUGUCUGCCUAAAUUCCAAAAGCCUCCUGGGGCCCUUUCAAGCCCAGGCUAGAGAUGGCUCUAUGUACUGGUUAGGAUUCUUUCUGUUUUUGCAAAAGUCAGAAACUCUACUCAAACUGGUUUAAGCGAAAAAGAGGUAUAAUAAGCUCAUGCAACUGAUAAUGGAAAGGUAUGGCUUCAGGCAUAGCUUGAUCCAGGAGUUUCAACAAUAUUAUCUGGACUUAGCCUUAUCCACAGCUCAGCUCUAGUUUCCUCCAGAUCGGCUUUAUUCUCAGAUCGGCUCUCUCACUGACGCUUUUUGGCCCUCAUUGGCCAGGCCUAGGAAAACUUGAGUCCUUAAAAGAAAAAUCAUGGUUCUCUUGUUAAAAGAGGCUAGGGAUGCUAAGCAGGCAAGAACAACGGAUGCCCACUCCACCCUGCUGAUAUAACACCAUCAAUCAGGAAGAUGGAGAGAAAAGACUUUAAUUGUG